This 86-nucleotide transfer RNA is filed under the name Candidatus Uhrbacteria bacterium. RNAcentral describes it as "tRNA-Leu". It matches the Rfam family "tRNA". Rfam says of the family: Transfer RNA (tRNA) molecules are approximately 80 nucleotides in length. Their secondary structure includes four short double-helical elements and three loops (D, anti-codon, and T loops). Further hydrogen bonds mediate the characteristic L-shaped molecular structure. tRNAs have two regions of fundamental functional importance: the anti-codon, which is responsible for specific mRNA codon recognition, and the 3' end, to which the tRNAs corresponding amino acid is attached (by aminoacyl-tRNA synthetases). tRNAs cope with the degeneracy of the genetic code in two manners: having more than one tRNA (with a specific anti-codon) for a particular amino acid; and 'wobble' base-pairing, i.e. permitting non-standard base-pairing at the 3rd anti-codon position. The record is from RNAcentral. Lineage: Bacteria; Candidatus Uhriibacteriota.
GCCGCGGUGGCGGAAUGGUAUACGCGACGGACUCAAAAUCCGUUUCCCGUAAGGGAUUGAGGGUUCGAGUCCCUCCCGCGGCACCA